This 447-nucleotide ribosomal RNA is filed under the name uncultured bacterium. Its description in RNAcentral is "partial 16S ribosomal RNA". It matches the Rfam family "Bacterial small subunit ribosomal RNA", at positions 29 to 523 of the family's 1533-position model. The record is from RNAcentral.
AACGAACGCUGGCGGCAGGCUUAACACAUGCAAGUCGAGCGCCCCGCGAGGGGAGCGGCAGACGGGUGAGUAACGCGUGGGAAUCUACCGUACCCUACGAAAUAGCUCCGGGAAACUGGAAUUAAUACCGUAUACGCCCUACGGGGAAAAGAUUUAUCGGGGUAUGAAGAGCCGGCGUUGGAUUAGCUGGGUGGUGGAGUAAAGGGCUACCAAGGCGAAGAGCCAUAGCUGGUCUGAGAGGAUGGUCAGCCACAUUGGGACUGAGACACGGACCAAAAUCGUACGGGAGGGAGCAGUGGGGAAUAUUGGACAAUGGGCGCAAGCGUGAUCCAUCCAUGGCGCGUGAGUGAUGAAGGUCUUAGGAUUGUAAAGCUCUUUCACCGAUGAAGAUAAUGACGGUAGUCGGAGAAGAAGCCCCGGCUAACUUCGUGCCAGCAGCCGCAGUAA